This 88-nucleotide non-coding RNA is filed under the name Metamycoplasma hominis. RNAcentral's name for it is "Mycoplasma hominis TPP". It matches the Rfam family "TPP riboswitch aptamer (THI element)". Rfam says of the family: Vitamin B(1) in its active form thiamin pyrophosphate (TPP) is an essential coenzyme that is synthesised by coupling of pyrimidine and thiazole moieties in bacteria. The previously detected thiamin-regulatory element, thi box was extended, resulting in a new, highly conserved RNA secondary structure, the THI element, which is widely distributed in eubacteria and also occurs in some archaea. RNAcentral also lists the same sequence under 2 other names. Lineage: Bacteria; Bacillati; Mycoplasmatota; Mycoplasmoidales; Metamycoplasmataceae. The record is from RNAcentral.
UAUAAAGAACAGGGGUGCCUUUGGCUGAGAAAUACCCUCAUUAGCUGAUCUAGUUAAUACUAGCGUAGUGAGUGUCUUAGUUUUUUGC